This 497-nucleotide ribosomal RNA is filed under the name uncultured bacterium. Its description in RNAcentral is "partial 16S ribosomal RNA". It matches the Rfam family "Bacterial small subunit ribosomal RNA", at positions 28 to 507 of the family's 1533-position model. The record is from RNAcentral.
GAUGAACGCUGGCGGCGUGCCUAAUACAUGCAAGUCGAGCGAACGGACGAGAAGCUUGUUUCUCUGAUGUUAGCGGCGGACGGGUGAGUAACACGUGGAUAACCUACCUAUAAGACUGGGAUAACUUCGGGAAACCGGAGCUAAUACCGGAUAAUAUUUUGAACCGCAUGGUUCAAAAGUAAAAGACGGUCUUGCUGUCACUUAUAGAUGGAUCCGCGCUGCAUUAGCUAGUUGGUAAGGUAACGGCUUACCAAGGCAACGAUGCAUAGCCGACCUGAGAGGGUGAUCGGACACACUGGAACUGAGACACGGUCCAGACUCCUACGGGAGGCAGCAGUAGGGAAUCUUCCGCAAUGGGCGAAAGCCUGACGGAGCAACGCCGCGUGAGUGAUGAAGGUCUUCGGAUCGUAAAACUCUGUUAUUAGGGAAGAACAUAUGUGUAAGUAACUGUGCACAUCUUGACGGUACCUAAUCAGAAAGCCACGGCUAACUACGUG